UUGGACUCAGCCUAUGGGUCUCGAUGACUGAACACACAAUCUCAUGGCAGUUCCUGUGAAGAGUGAGAAUAUAACUUAUGACACAAUAAUGUUUUGUUGUGUUCCAAUAUUACCCCCUCCAUGACAACCACACUACAGCCAUUAUGCACAUAAGCACCAAGGACAGAGAAUGCAGGCAACCGAUUCAAAUGUGAGGGCCAGGAUCGAGUCACUACAACGGGCCAAAAGUGCCAAGUUUGGGUCGUAGACAUAACGCUUAUGUUUCUGGUUGUAAUGGAUGCCAAGGACCUAAAGUCGACAGUGUGGCGGAUGCUACGUUGCAUUCUGUCAAACAGUCUUGCCAUCACCACCACAUAGGCAGGAGAUGAGGCCUGUUUCGUGAACUUGUUUCUGAUGACCAUUCUUCACAGUACGUUUUUAUAUAAAUGUGUUACAUUUGUUUUGUGUACUUUAUAUGUAAAUUCUUAAACUUGUUUAAGACCAUCUGGGAUUCAUACGUAACUCCAUUGUCUUUCUUUGUGUACAGAAAUUGACCGACAUACUUUCCGUGUAUACUUUCAUAUAAAUGAUAUGCUGUAACUGUACAGUACCUUUUCCACUCACUAUACACAUGGACAAACUAUGUCCACAGCCUUCUGUAUCCCUAUAGGCUUUUUACAUC
This is a non-coding RNA of Oncorhynchus mykiss (rainbow trout), 661 nucleotides long. NCBI's taxonomy places the organism in Eukaryota, Metazoa, Chordata, Actinopteri, Salmoniformes, Salmonidae. The record is from RefSeq and is a predicted model, not a curated record.